Long non-coding RNA from Nilaparvata lugens (brown planthopper), 690 nucleotides. RefSeq lists it as uncharacterized. The transcript is spliced from 2 exons. The record is from RefSeq and is a predicted model, not a curated record. NCBI's taxonomy places the organism in Eukaryota, Metazoa, Arthropoda, Insecta, Hemiptera, Delphacidae.
AUUUAUUAUCAAUGCUAUUAUUCUCAUCAAAUCAUCUCAUUGUCAUAUUGAGUUUCACGUUGCAUACGAAUUAAUUGAUAUUUAUGAAUAUAAAGUUACAAUCUAAUUGAAUUCGAGUUGCUAUAAUACUGUAUCACUUCCCAACGUAUUCACAACACACGGUCUUCAGUCGCCUGAUCAGCUACAAGGGAGAUUCAUUUUCAGUGGAAGGUUUUAUUGAACUUGACAUACCAGAGAUCCUGCAGAGACAAAAUGGUAUCUACCGGACUACGAAAAUCACUUGUCGCUGUUUUCCUGAUUCUGGCCUGCACUCAGUUUGAAUUCCUAGUUGGACUCAGUCUACCAGAAUCCAGUGAUGCAAUUAACGGUUUGGAGUUUGAAGUGAUGAGUGAGGCAACCCAAUCCCCAGAUUAUCUUGUUCAGAGCCGAGAAAAAAGAAGCUUCGCACCUUUUCCGGCACUGACUUUUUUGAUUCUGGGAUUGAUUGCUAUCAUUGUACUCAAACCUAUGGUCAUAAUUUCACUAGUAAUCUUUAACAUUAUAUAUGUGAUUGGCAGAAUUGUUCGUAUACCAAUAGAUAUCAUCAGGAUAGCUAUUCAUCUCCUUUUAUAGGAAUAGUAAUAGUCUAAUUUCCAAAUGAAUGUUCUUCCAUUUUCCAGAUUUUUUUAAUCAUGUGAACAAUAAUCUGAA